RNAcentral lists this unclassified non-coding RNA (252 nucleotides) under Hevea brasiliensis (rubber tree). Lineage: Eukaryota; Viridiplantae; Streptophyta; Magnoliopsida; Malpighiales; Euphorbiaceae. The record is from RNAcentral.
CUAAUACACAGAUUCAGAUCUACAGUUCCAUAAUCGGACAAUCAGCACAUUGAAAUAAAAUCAAUUCUAUCCGCAACUACAACCACAAAGUGAAUAAACACAAUCUCCAAUAAGUUAAUGAAGUGUACAGAUGUUAAGCAAACCUCAGAAAGCAGUAAAUGGAUCUGGAAGGAAGCAAAACGGGAACUUGGGAUGGGGCCAUGAAUGGCAUUGCGGUUAAAACUAGGAGACGAGAGAAAGAAAUGGCGAAGA